GGGGAUGUAGCUCAGUUGGUAGAGUGUUUGCCUUGUGUGCAAAACACCCAGGGUUUGGUUCCCAGCAGCUCAU
Molecule: transfer RNA, 73 nt
Filed under: Neotoma lepida (desert woodrat)
Lineage: Eukaryota; Metazoa; Chordata; Mammalia; Rodentia; Cricetidae
Rfam family: tRNA
About the family: Transfer RNA (tRNA) molecules are approximately 80 nucleotides in length. Their secondary structure includes four short double-helical elements and three loops (D, anti-codon, and T loops). Further hydrogen bonds mediate the characteristic L-shaped molecular structure. tRNAs have two regions of fundamental functional importance: the anti-codon, which is responsible for specific mRNA codon recognition, and the 3' end, to which the tRNAs corresponding amino acid is attached (by aminoacyl-tRNA synthetases). tRNAs cope with the degeneracy of the genetic code in two manners: having more than one tRNA (with a specific anti-codon) for a particular amino acid; and 'wobble' base-pairing, i.e. permitting non-standard base-pairing at the 3rd anti-codon position.
Source: Rfam by way of RNAcentral